GAUGAACGCUGGCGGCGUGCCUAAUACAUGCAAGUCGAGCGAACGGACGAGAAGCUUGCUUCUCUGAUGUUAGCGGCGGACGGGUGAGUAACACGUGGAUAACCUACCUAUAAGACUGGGAUAACUUCGGGAAACCGGAGCUAAUACCGGAUAAUAUUUUGAACCGCAUGGUUCAAAAGUGAAAGACGGUCUUGCUGUCACUUAUAGAUGGAUCCGCGCUGCAUUAGCUAGUUGGUAAGGUAACGGCUUACCAAGGCAACGAUGCAUAGCCGACCUGAGAGGGGGAUCGGCCAAACUGGAAGUGAGACGCGGUCCUGACUCCUACGGGAGGCAGCAGUAGGGAAUCUUCCGCAAUAGGCGAAAGCCUGACGGAGCAACGCCGAGUGAGUGAUGAAGGUUUUCGGAUCGUAAAACUCUGUUAUUAGGGAAGAACAUAUGUGUAAGUAACUGUGCACAUCUUGACGGUACCUAAUCAGAAAGCCACGGCUAACUACGUG
RNAcentral lists this ribosomal RNA (497 nucleotides) under uncultured bacterium. RNAcentral describes it as "partial 16S ribosomal RNA". It matches the Rfam family "Bacterial small subunit ribosomal RNA", at positions 28 to 507 of the family's 1533-position model. The record is from RNAcentral.